RNAcentral lists this ribosomal RNA (253 nucleotides) under uncultured bacterium. RNAcentral's name for it is "partial 16S ribosomal RNA". It matches the Rfam family "Bacterial small subunit ribosomal RNA", at positions 524 to 776 of the family's 1533-position model. The record is from RNAcentral.
UACGUAGGCAGCAAGCGUUGUUCGGAUUUACUGGGCGUAAAGGGUGCGUAGGCGGCUUCUUAAGUCUGGUGUGAAAUCUCCCGGCUCAACUGGGAGGGUGCGCCGGAUACUGAGGGGCUAGAGUGUGGGAGAGGAAAGUGGAAUUCCUGGUGUAGCGGUGAAAUGCGUAGAUAUCAGGAGGAACACCGGUGGUGUAAACGGCUUUCUGGACCAUAACUGACGCUGAGGCACGAAAGCGUGGGUAGCAAACAGG